UCGCCUGUUUAUCAAAAACAUCGCCUCUUGCAAAACUCAAAAAUAAGAGGUCCCGCCUGCCCUGUGACUAUUUGUUUAACGGCCGCGGUAUUUUGACCGUGCGAAGGUAGCGCAAUCACUUGUCUUUUAAAUGGAGACCCGUAUGAAUGGCAUAACGAGGGCUUAACUGUCUCCUCUUUCAAGUCAAUGAAAUUGAUCUCCCCGUGCAGAAGCGGGGAUAAAAACAUAAGACGAGAAGACCCUAUGGAGCUUUAGACACUAAGACAGCCCACGUUAAAGACCCUAAAAUAAAGGACUAAACCAGGUGGGCCCUGCCCUAAUGUCUUUGGUUGGGGCGACCGCGGGGAAUUAAAGAACCCCCACGUGGAACGGGAACACUCUUCCUACAACUAAGAGCCACAGCUCUAGCAAACAGAACUUCUGACCAACAAGAUCCGGCAAUGCCGAUCAACGGACCGAKUUACCCUAGGGAUAACAGCGCAAUCCUCUUUUAGAGCCCAUAUCGACAAGGGGGUUUACGACCUCGAUGUUGGAUCAGGACAUCCUAAUGGUGCAGCCGCUAUUAAGGGUUCGUUUGUUCAACGAUUAAAGUCCUACGUGAUCUGAGUUCAGAC
Molecule: ribosomal RNA, 614 nt
Filed under: Porocottus japonicus
Lineage: Eukaryota; Metazoa; Chordata; Actinopteri; Perciformes; Cottidae
Description: partial large subunit ribosomal RNA
Rfam family: Bacterial large subunit ribosomal RNA
Source: RNAcentral